UACGGAGGUUGCGAGCGUUGUUCGGAAUGACUGGGCGUAAAGGGAGCGCAGGCGGUUUGGCAAGUCUAAAGUGGAAGCCCGGGGCUUAACCUCGGAAGUGCUUUGGAUACUGCCUGACUUGAGUUCGUGAGAGGAAAGCGGAAUUCCAGGUGUAGCGGUGAAAUGCGUAGAUAUCUGGAGGAACACCGGUGGCGAAAGCGGCUUUCUGGCACGAUACUGACGCUGAGGCUCGAAAGCAUGGGGAGCGAAC
RNAcentral lists this ribosomal RNA (250 nucleotides) under uncultured bacterium. Its description in RNAcentral is "partial 16S ribosomal RNA". It matches the Rfam family "Bacterial small subunit ribosomal RNA", at positions 524 to 773 of the family's 1533-position model. The record is from RNAcentral.